UUUCCGUAGGUGAACCUGCGGAAGGAUCAUUAAUGAGUUGUCAUGGGGUUCGAUGCUGGCAGCCAAUUUUUGGAUGCAUGUGCUUGCCCUAACAAUCAUCUUCCAAACACCUGUGCACAUUUUUGAGGGAGUCUUGAGUUGGUUGCCGCUCUUGGGUGAUUUUCUCACAUUUCCUUAAAUCAUUAUACGCUAUUAACAAUGUUGAACGUGCUCUGUGCCGCAAGGCUAUUAAUAUAAUACAACUUUUAACAACGGAUCUCUUGGCUCUCGCAUCGAUGAAGAGCGCAGC
RNAcentral lists this unclassified non-coding RNA (289 nucleotides) under plant metagenome. RNAcentral's name for it is "partial contains small subunit ribosomal RNA, internal transcribed spacer 1, and 5.8S ribosomal RNA". The stretch from base 241 to 289 matches the Rfam family "5.8S ribosomal RNA", at positions 1 to 49 of the family's 154-position model. The record is from RNAcentral.